AAAAACAUGUCCUUUAGAAUUUAAUUUAAGGUCUAACCUGCCCACUGAAUUAAAUGGCCGCAGUAUUUUAACUGUGCAAAGGUAGCAUAAUCAUUAGUCUUUUAAUUGAAGGCUUGUAUGAAUGGUUGGACGAAAUAUUAACUGUUUCAUAGAAAUUGAUUUAGAAUUUUAUUUUUUAGUUAAAAAGCUAAAAUUUUUUUAAAAGACGAGAAGACCCUAUAGAUCUUUAUAAUUUGUUUAUUAUAGUUAUAUAGAUAAUUUAAAUUAUAAUAGUUUAAAUUAUUUUGUUGGGGUGACAUUAAAAUUUAAUAAACUUUUAAUAUUUUAUUACAUUGAUUUAUGAUUAAUUGAUCCAUUAUUAAUGAUUAUAAAAUUAAGUUACCUUAGGGAUAACAGCGUAAUUUUUUUGGAGAGUUCAUAUCGAUAAAAAAGAUUGCGACCUCGAUGUUGGAUUAAGAUAUAAUUUUGGGUGCAGCAAUUCAAUAAUUAAGUCUGUUCGACUUUUAAUUUCUUACAUGA
This 519-nucleotide ribosomal RNA is filed under the name Laxotela hauseri. RNAcentral describes it as "partial 16S ribosomal RNA". It matches the Rfam family "Bacterial large subunit ribosomal RNA", at positions 1809 to 2603 of the family's 2925-position model. Lineage: Eukaryota; Metazoa; Arthropoda; Insecta; Diptera; Therevidae. The record is from RNAcentral.